RNAcentral lists this ribosomal RNA (785 nucleotides) under uncultured fungus. RNAcentral's name for it is "LSU rRNA". It matches the Rfam family "Eukaryotic large subunit ribosomal RNA", at positions 23 to 664 of the family's 3401-position model. The record is from RNAcentral. Lineage: Eukaryota; Fungi.
ACCCGCUGAACUUAAGCAUAUCAAUAAGCGGAGGAAAAGAAACUAACAAGGAUUCCCCUAGUAACGGCGAGUGAAGCGGGAUGAGCUCAAAUUUAAAAUCUGGCUGGUUUACUAGUCCGAAUUGUAGUUUAAAGAAGCGUUUUCGGUGGCAGCCUGGGUAUAAAUCCUUUGGAACAGGGUAUCAUAGAGGGUGAGAAUCCCGUCUUUGACUCAGUGCAUGCUACUAUGUGAUACGUUUUCAAAGAGUCGAGUUGUUUGGGAAUGCAGCUCAAAAUGGGUGGUAAAUUUCAUCUAAAGCUAAAUAUUGGCGAGAGACCGAUAGCGAACAAGUACCGUGAGGGAAAGAUGAAAAGAACUUUGAAAAGAGAGUUAAACAGUGCGUGAAAUUGUUGAAAGGGAAACGCUUGACACCAGUCAUGCGAGCGGAAAAUCAGUCUUUUGCAGUGGGGAGUCGUGUGGGUUCGGACCGCAAGGCCGGCCUGCGCUGCAUCUCUGCUGUAAGUGAUGCACUUUUUCGUUUGCAGGCCAACAUCAGUUUCUUCUGCUGGACAAAACUCUUGAGAAGGUGGCAGCUUAGGCUGUGUUAUAGCUCUUGAGCGAUACAGUGGAGGGGACUGAGGUUUUCGCAGCGCGUGCUCUCGGGCAAGGCUGAUUGGGUGCUAUGGGAUCGUUCGGUGUACAAUGCAUGCAUUUUGCGCCGUGUCUUUUCUAUACUCGCUCAACUCGGCUCUUCCGCGCUUAGGAUGUUGGCUUAAUGGUUUUAAUCGACCCGUCUUGAAACACGG